CACGUAGGGCGCAAGCGUUGUCCGGAAUUAUUGGGCGUAAAGAGCUCGUAGGCGGUCUGUUGCGUCCGCUGUGAAAACCCGGGGCUUAACCCCUGGCUCGCAGUGGAUACGGACAGACUAGAGGUAGGUAGGGGAGAAUGGAAUUCCCGGUGUAGCGGUGAAAUGCGCAGAUAUCGGGAGGAACACCGGUGGCGAAGGCGGUUCUCUGGGCCUUACCUGACGCUGAGGAGCGAAAGCGUGGGGAGCGAACAGG
RNAcentral lists this ribosomal RNA (253 nucleotides) under uncultured bacterium. Its description in RNAcentral is "partial 16S ribosomal RNA". It matches the Rfam family "Bacterial small subunit ribosomal RNA", at positions 524 to 776 of the family's 1533-position model. The record is from RNAcentral.